RNAcentral lists this small nuclear RNA (185 nucleotides) under Canis lupus familiaris (dog). Its description in RNAcentral is "U2 spliceosomal RNA (ENSCAFG00000053577.1)". It matches the Rfam family "U2 spliceosomal RNA". From Rfam's summary of the family: U2 is a small nuclear RNA (snRNA) component of the spliceosome (involved in pre-mRNA splicing). Complementary binding between U2 snRNA (in an area lying towards the 5' end but 3' to hairpin I) and the branchpoint sequence (BPS) of the intron results the bulging out of an unpaired adenosine, on the BPS, which initiates a nucleophilic attack at the intronic 5' splice site, thus starting the first of two transesterification reactions that mediate splicing. Lineage: Eukaryota; Metazoa; Chordata; Mammalia; Carnivora; Canidae. The record is from RNAcentral.
UACGCUUCUCGGCCUUUGUAAGAUCAGUGUAGUAUGUUCUUAUCAGUUUAAUAUCUGAUACGUCCUCUAUCCGAGGACAAUAUAUUAAAUGGAUUUUUGGAGCAGGGAGAUGGAAUAGGAGCUUGCUCCGUCCACUCCGCGCAUCGACCUGGUAUUGCAGUACCUCCAGGAACGGUGCACCCCCU